GGUCCCAUGGUGUAAUGGUUAGCACUCUGGACUUUGAAUCCAGUGAUCCGAGUUCGAGUCUCGGUGGGACCU
RNAcentral lists this transfer RNA (72 nucleotides) under Homarus americanus (American lobster). RNAcentral's name for it is "tRNA-Gln". It matches the Rfam family "tRNA". From Rfam's summary of the family: Transfer RNA (tRNA) molecules are approximately 80 nucleotides in length. The record is from Rfam by way of RNAcentral. RNAcentral also lists the same sequence under 2 other names. Lineage: Eukaryota; Metazoa; Arthropoda; Malacostraca; Decapoda; Nephropidae.